UAAUGCUGAUGUGUCAUGUGUGGACUGUUCAGGAGGAAGAUGAUGGUGAUAUCGAGUUUGUGGAGUUCCCUAAGGGGGUGGAGGUAAGCAAUUAGUAAGUAUAUGUAUAUUAGCUAUCAAAAUCAAUAGUGGUGUAUUGAUUUAUAAACUAUAUUGAUUUAUAAUUUUUUAUACAGGUUGAAGGAAUAUGUGCUAGCCUUUUGGUUUUGGUGGCAUGCUUUUAGCCUUUUGGAUGUUGACAGGUUCUAACUUAGAACUUCUAAGGGAGAUAGGAGUCAUAGCCUUUUGGAUGCUGCUAGCCUUUUGUUGGCAUGUUGACAUGCUGCACUUGUGCUGCUAGAGCAGCAGUGCUAGCCUUUUGGUGGUUGACUGCGACUAGUUCUGGUUGUUUCUUUUCAUGGCAGGAAAGUGCAUGUAAAAGUGGCUAAACUAUUACUCACCUAGGAACAGAAUGUACAUUGUCUUUUGUCUAGUCUAGUGGUACAGUCUUGUUGACACAUAAUGAAAAUGUAAAAUUGUAUGUUGUCUAAAUUCUGAAUUUUUAUGAUGCUUGAGUUCAAACUUCA
RNAcentral lists this long non-coding RNA (566 nucleotides) under Zea mays. Its description in RNAcentral is "long non-coding RNA (ZMAY_LNC002567)". The record is from RNAcentral. Lineage: Eukaryota; Viridiplantae; Streptophyta; Magnoliopsida; Poales; Poaceae.